Non-coding RNA from Cricetulus griseus (Chinese hamster), 870 nucleotides. The record is from RefSeq and is a predicted model, not a curated record. NCBI's taxonomy places the organism in Eukaryota, Metazoa, Chordata, Mammalia, Rodentia, Cricetidae.
UUGGCUACUGAAGUGAAUGAGCUACCUUCCAGAAGGCCCCUGUUAGCUUCAGGUCUGCCUGACACACAUGGGCGGAUGUUUGAGGCAAGGCAAGGGAUCGCGGGUGAAGUCUACAGGCUUUGCUUGAACAGAGUUAAGUGGCCCCGGUCCAGGCCGGAAGUUAAGCUGGGAGAUGGUGAUCAAGUACAGUUGUUGGGUCUGGCACAGUCAUUCUUUGCUGAGCAGUGCAGAAAAGAGAGAUAUUUCUCUGUGGGUUUGGCUCAUAGUUCCACAAUGCAGUUUUUCAUCUGCGUCUUCCUAUUGGCUCAAGGGAAAAACAAAUCUUGCAUGCACAAAGGAGCUGUCCUGGAGAGCUGACAUCGCUCACCCAUGCCCCUGCAAAGCUCUCUACCUACGCUUCCCCACUUUGCUUUUUCCAGCAAUUCAGACAAGCAAUCUCAUAAAGUGUUGGGGCUGCCUUUAGGUUGUAGUUAAAAAUUUCCAGCAGAUUGGUCACACAUCCUAUGAUAAACAAUAGCCUUCUAUGAGCUGUGAUAUCUUACGUUUGCAAGCCAGUGUGUGCAUGUGUGUGGAAAAAAAUCACCGGUUAUGCUGAGCAACGCUGCCCGACCACAGGGCCAUUUCUGCAGAAUUCUCUUGCCUGGGGCCAUCCCCCUUCAGAUCCACACUGACAAGCCUGCUUAGACCAGUGCUCCUAAGUGUUCCUGUCUUGAUGGAUUAGCUUGGCCAGGACAAGUUUACACAUCACUGGAGAAGUGUGAAGAGGGAGUGCGGAUGGAAAAAAAAUAGAGACACAAGAAGAGGUUUAUAAUGUUUGAAAUUAGGCAGCCCAGCCCGGAACUUUCCAUAAAAACUUUCUCCUGGCUCCUC